GCAGCUGGCGAGCGCCUCGGCGUCCUGGCCUGGGGACCGGGGAACCCCUGGAGCAGCAGCCUCAGCUCUUCUAGGCUGCGGUUGAUGCGGUCCCGGCGCCGCUUCUCCACCAACGGCUUCAGCAUCUGUGACCAGCGGGAAAGGAAGAGCGGGCCGACCGGACCGAGACUCAGCGCCGCCGCGCAAGCGUCCGAUCCUGCCGCUGGGAAAACCCCCCAUGCGCCCCUUUCCCCUAAUCCCAGGCUGCUUGGGUCUGGUCCAUUCGUUUCCCUCUCACUCCCUGCUACUUCCCAGUCCCUUGGGUCGCUUUCCGUGGCUCGCCCACUUCUCCCUGCCCUUUCUGUGUUCAGCUUUCUCCUCUCUUCUCCCCUCUAUGGCACUCUUCUUUUCUCUUUAUAUCUCUAUCUUGUGUCGUCUCCCUCUCAGUGUAUCACUGAAGAACUUUAGGGCCACUCUUUGCCCCCAGGCUAGUGAGCCGCGCGAUAGAGACCUAAGGUGAAAGGCAGACACACAGUGCGACCACACCUCCUCUUCUCACUCAAACCCUUCACUCGUUCUCCUAAUAUCUCUCACCUGGCCUCGCACCUCCGGAACCAACGACUCAAAGGUCUUCUCUUUGAGUCAGAUGUGGGUUCCCAGGCGCUUACAGACAGCGUCCAUAGCCUUUCCUCUAUUUUUGUUUCCACCCUCCUCCACCAGCUAUGGCCUCUAGCUUAUCUCAUGUUAUAGUAUAGCUUCGUGGGGUUUUGUUUGUUUGUUUUAUUUUGGUUUGGUUUUUGUUUGUUUGUUUGUUUGUUUUUUCGGUAGGGGUGCACUCUGUGGCCUCGAACUUGCGAUAAUCCACCUGCCCCAGCUUCCCGAGCCCUAGAAUAGGCCACGAUGCCCAAAUUCUGGCACUUUCCUAGCCACAAGCCUUAGCCCACAAUAAUGCAAACCCCUAGACCUCCGCUUCCGCAGCCCGCGCAAGUUGGGCUCUGACCCUGCCCUCUUUAUACUUUACAGGUUCUUUCGGUCUUUUCACUCUUGUGUCUCCAUCCUCAUUCCUAGCCCACAGAGUUAGAACCUUUAAGUCCUCUGGCCUGAACAGGGACCCUAUUUCCCUCCCUUCCCACCUCUCACCUUGGGGCCGUCCCUAUUCUCAGCUCGCUCCCGGGUGACCAUUGCUCCUCCGGACCCUUCGGUGGACUCAGCGCGUGCUGCCUAGAUCCUUAUAUCCCGCCGCUGCAGGGUAGGAGGGCUAGGGCCCGGCCCCGCCCCCUUCAGCCCCUAGAUGCCCAGCUCAAGGACCCCGGCACGAGGCUCCCGGAAAGGCAGGGAGUGAAGGGGGAGGGGAAGGGGAGGAACUAGCCCCAAAUGUGGGAAGUGAGGGGAGGAAGGGGCCACAGGCUGGUUUAAGGACCAUAAAGCUGUAUAAUAAGGCGGGACCCAACUGGAGGGAGGAGAUUAUUAGGGGAAGAGAGUCUAAGUGAACUGGGAAGAAAUCACUUAGGCAUGAAAUUUGGGGGUCUCCUAGACUAGUAGAUUUCUUGGAGGUUCACUAUAGCCCCACCAACCCUGAAAUAAAUGUUGGCAUGCUUCUGC
RNAcentral lists this long non-coding RNA (1581 nucleotides) under Mus musculus (house mouse). RNAcentral's name for it is "RIKEN cDNA 9130213A22 gene". Lineage: Eukaryota; Metazoa; Chordata; Mammalia; Rodentia; Muridae. The record is from RNAcentral.